GAUGAACGCUGGCGGCGUGCCUAAUACAUGCAAGUCGAGCGAACGGACGAGAAGCUUGCUUCUCUGAUGUUAGCGGCGGACGGGUGAGUAACACGUGGACAACCUACCUAUAAGACUGGGAUAACUUCGGGAAACCGGAGCUAAUACCGGAUAAUAUUUUGAACCGCAUGGUUCAAAAGUGAAAGACGGUCUUGCUGUCACUUAUAGAUGGAUCCUCGCUGCAUUAGCUAGUUGGUAAGGUAACGGCUUACCAAGGCAACGAUGCAUAGCCGACCUGAGAGGGUGAUCGGCCACACUGGAACUGAGACACGGUCCAGACUCCUACGGGAGGCAGCAGUAGGGAAUCUUCCGCAAUGGGCGAAAGCCUGACGGAGCAACGCCGCGUGAGUGAUGAAGGUCUUCGGAUCGUAAAACUCUGUUAUUAGGGAAGAACAUAUGUGUAAGUAACUGUGCACAUCUUGACGGUACCUAAUCAGAAAGCCACGGCUAACUACGUG
RNAcentral lists this ribosomal RNA (497 nucleotides) under uncultured bacterium. RNAcentral's name for it is "partial 16S ribosomal RNA". It matches the Rfam family "Bacterial small subunit ribosomal RNA", at positions 28 to 507 of the family's 1533-position model. The record is from RNAcentral.